Molecule: ribosomal RNA, 277 nt
Filed under: uncultured bacterium
Lineage: Bacteria
Description: partial 16S ribosomal RNA
Rfam family: Bacterial small subunit ribosomal RNA
Source: RNAcentral
CAAACUGGAGAUGGCGACCGGCGCACGGGUGAGUAACACGUAUCCAACCUGCCGAUAACUCGGGGAUAGCCUUUCGAAAGAAAGAUUAAUACCCGAUGGCAUAGUUCUUCCGCAUGGUAGAACUAUUAAAGAAUUUCGGUCAUCGAUGGGGAUGCGUUCCAUUAGGUUGUUGGCGGGGUAACGGGCCCACCAAGCCUUCGAUGGAUAGGGGUUCUGAGAGGAAGGUCCCCCACAUUGGAACUGAGACACGGUCCAAACUCCUACGGGAGGCAGCAUG